RNAcentral lists this ribosomal RNA (459 nucleotides) under uncultured bacterium. RNAcentral's name for it is "SSU rRNA". It matches the Rfam family "Bacterial small subunit ribosomal RNA", at positions 26 to 518 of the family's 1533-position model. The record is from RNAcentral.
AGAAUCAACGCUGGCGGCGUGCCUAACACAUGCAGGUCGAACGAGAAAGUGGAGCAAUCCACGAGUAAAGUGGCGCACGGGUGAGUAACACGUGACUAACCUACCCUUGAGUGGGGGAUAACCUAGGGAAACCUGGGCUAAUACCACAUAAUACCUACGGGUCAAAGGAGCAAUUCGCUUAAGGAGGGGGUCGCGGCCGAUUAGUUAGUUGGUGAGGUAAUGGCUCACCAAGGCGACGAUCCGUAGCUGGUCUGAGAGGACGACCAGCCACACUGGGACUGAGACACGGCCCAGACUCCUACGGGAGGCAGCAGUGAGGAAUUUUCCGCAAUGGGCGAAAGCCUGACGGAGCGACGCCGCGUGCACGAGGAAGGCCUUCGGGUCGUAAAGUGCUGUCGAGGGGGACGAUUAUGACGGUACCCCUGGAGGAAGCCCGGCUAACUACGUGCCAGCAGCCGC